GACGGGGCCCGCACAAGCGGUGGAGCAUGUGGUUUAAUUCGAAGCAACGCGAAGAACCUUACCAGGUCUUGACAUCCCCUGACAACCCGAGAGAUCGGGCGUUCCCCUUCGGGGGACAGGGUGACAGGUGGUGCAUGGUUGUCGUCAGCUCGUGUCGUGAGAUGUUGGGUUAAGUCCCGCAACGAGCGCAACCCUCGACCUUAGUUGCCAGCAUUCAGUUGGGCACUCUAAGGUGACUGCCGGCUAAAAGUCGGAGGAAGGUGGGGAUGACGUCAAAUCAUCAUGCCCCUUAUGACCUGGGCUACACACGUGCUACAAUGGGCGGUACAAAGGGUCGCGAACCCGCGAGGGGGAGCCAAUCCCAAAAAGCCGCCCUCAGUUCGGAUUGCAGGCUGCAACUCGCCUGCAUGAAGCCGGAAUCGCUAGUAAUCGCAGGUCAGCAUACUGCGGUGAAUACGUUCCCGGGCCUU
Molecule: ribosomal RNA, 470 nt
Filed under: uncultured Anoxybacillus sp.
Lineage: Bacteria; Bacillati; Bacillota; Bacilli; Caryophanales; Anoxybacillaceae
Description: bacterial SSU rRNA
Rfam family: Bacterial small subunit ribosomal RNA
Source: RNAcentral